GAUGAAGAACGUAGCGAAAUGCGAUACGUAGUGUGAAUUGCAGAAUUCAGUGAAUCAUCGAAUCUUUGAACGCACAUUGCACCUCUCGGUAUUCCGGGAGGUAUGCCUGUUCGAGCGUCAUUUGUACCCUCAAGCUCUGUUUGGUGUUGGGUGUUUGUUCCGCCUCUGUGUGUGAACUCGCCUCAAAACAAUUGGCAGCCGGCGUACUUGUUUCGGAGCGCAGCACAUUUUGCGAUCCAGAUCAACGUACAGCGGCAUCCAAGAAGCCUUAUUUAACGCUCUUGACCUCGGAUCAGGUAGGGAUACCCGCUGAACUUAAGCAUAUCAAUAAGCGGAGGA
This 339-nucleotide unclassified non-coding RNA is filed under the name soil metagenome. RNAcentral's name for it is "partial contains 5.8S ribosomal RNA, internal transcribed spacer 2, and large subunit ribosomal RNA". The stretch from base 1 to 120 matches the Rfam family "5.8S ribosomal RNA", at positions 35 to 154 of the family's 154-position model. The record is from RNAcentral.